GGAUGUAGCUCAGUGGCAGAGUACUUGCCUAGCAUGCAUGAGGACCUCGGUUUGAUCCUCAGCACUG
Molecule: transfer RNA, 67 nt
Filed under: Marmota monax (woodchuck)
Lineage: Eukaryota; Metazoa; Chordata; Mammalia; Rodentia; Sciuridae
Description: tRNA.Ala
Source: RNAcentral